GGGCGACGGUUGUCCCGGUUUAAGCGUGUAGGCUGGUUUUCCAGGCAAAUCCGGAAAAUCAAGGCUGAGGCGUGAUGACGAGGCACUACGGUGCUGAAGCAACAAAUGCCCUGCUUCCAGGAAAAGCCUCUAAGCAUCAGGUAACAUCAAAUCGUACCCCAAACCGACACAGGUGGUCAGGUAGAGAAUACCAAGGCGCUUGAGAGAACUCGGGUGAAGGAACUAGGCAAAAUGGUGCCGUAACUUCGGGAGAAGGCACGCUGAUAUGUAGGUGAAGCGACUUGCUCGUGGAGCUGAAAUCAGUCGAAGAUACCAGCUGGCUGCAACUGUUUAUUAAAAACACAGCACUGUGCAAACACGAAAGUGGACGUAUACGGUGUGACGCCUGCCCGGUGCCGGAAGGUUAAUUGAUGGGGUUAGCGGUAACGCGAAGCUCUUGAUCGAAGCCCCGGUAAACGGCGGCCGUAACUAUAACGGUCCUAAGGUAGCGAAAUUCCUUGUCGGGUAAGUUCCGACCUGCACGAAUGGCGUAAUGAUGGCCAGGCUGUCUCCACCCGAGACUCAGUGAAAUUGAACUCGCUGUGAAGAUGCAGUGUACCCGCGGCAAGACGGAAAGACCCCGUGAACCUUUACUAUAGCUUGACACUGAACAUUGAGCCUUGAUGUGUAGGAUAGGUGGGAGGCUUUGAAGUGUGGACGCCAGUCUGCAUGGAGCCGACCUUGAAAUACCACCCUUUAAUGUUUGAUGUUCUAACGUUGACCCGUAAUCCGGGUUGCGGACAGUGUCUGGUGGGUAGUUUGACUGGGGCGGUCUCCUCCUAAAGAGUAACGGAGGAGCACGAAGGUUGGCUAAUCCUGGUCGGACAUCAGGAGGUUAGUGCAAUGGCAUAAGCCAGCUUGACUGCGAGCGUGACGGCGCGAGCAGGUGCGAAAGCAGGUCAUAGUGAUCCGGUGGUUCUGAAUGGAAGGGCCAUCGCUCAACGGAUAAAAGGUACUCCGGGGAUAACAGGCUGAUACCGCCCAAGAGUUCAUAUCGACGGCGGUGUUUGGCACCUCGAUGUCGGCUCAUCACAUCCUGGGGCUGAAGUAGGUCCCAAGGGUAUGGCUGUUCGCCAUUUAAAGUGGUACGCGAGCUGGGUUUAGAACGUCGUGAGACAGUUCGGUCCCUAUCUGCCGUGGGCGCUGGAGAACUGAGGGGGGCUGCUCCUAGUACGAGAGGACCGGAGUGGACGCAUCACUGGUGUUCGGGUUGUCAUGCCAAUGGCACUGCCCGGUAGCUAAAUGCGGAAGAGAUAAGUGCUGAAAGCAUCUAAGCACGAAACUUGCC
RNAcentral lists this ribosomal RNA (1327 nucleotides) under Escherichia coli. Its description in RNAcentral is "partial 23S ribosomal RNA". It matches the Rfam family "Bacterial large subunit ribosomal RNA", at positions 1493 to 2798 of the family's 2925-position model. The record is from RNAcentral. Lineage: Bacteria; Pseudomonadati; Pseudomonadota; Gammaproteobacteria; Enterobacterales; Enterobacteriaceae.